This 253-nucleotide ribosomal RNA is filed under the name uncultured bacterium. RNAcentral's name for it is "partial 16S ribosomal RNA". It matches the Rfam family "Bacterial small subunit ribosomal RNA", at positions 524 to 776 of the family's 1533-position model. The record is from RNAcentral.
UACAGAGGGGGCAAGCGUUGUUCGGAAUUACUGGGCGUAAAGGGCGCGUAGGCGGCCGCCUAAGUCAGACGUGAAAUCCCUCGGCUCAACCGGGGAACUGCGUCUGAUACUGGGUGGCUUGAAUUCGGGAGAGGGAUGCGGAAUUCCAGGUGUAGCGGUGAAAUGCGUAGAUAUCUGGAGGAACACCGGUGGCGAGGGCGGCAUCCUGGACCGGCAUUGACGCUGAGGAGCGAAAGCCAGGGGAGCAAACGGG